GAAAUGCAACAUGACUCCAGCGAUAUAUCUGCAAUAGCAGAAAAUGAUGAAAAUAUACCACAAACGCAAGAUAUUGGAGUUUUCAAAUGGCCACACGAAGCAAUUUUGUUAUUGGUCGAAGAAUAUCGUGUAUGGGAAAAAGAUUUUUCCAGUGGAAAAAUAUCUCAAAAAAGAGUAUGAAUUUUAAUUGCAGAACAAUUAGUAAAACAUGGUUAUAAUGUAACUGGUCCUCAAUGUUUAUCCAAAUUUUCCGGUUUAAAACGUACAUACAAAGCUAUUAAAGACCAUAAUAACAAAUCAGGAAAUGGAACUAAAUCGUGGCCAUAUUUUACUGUAAGAUAUUUAUAUAUAUA
Long non-coding RNA from Wasmannia auropunctata (little fire ant), 353 nucleotides. RefSeq lists it as uncharacterized. The transcript has 3 exons. The record is from RefSeq and is a predicted model, not a curated record. NCBI's taxonomy places the organism in Eukaryota, Metazoa, Arthropoda, Insecta, Hymenoptera, Formicidae.